AACGAACGCUGGCGGCAUGCCUAACACAUGCAAGUCGAACGAGACCGUCGGGUCUAGUGGCGCACGGGUGCGUAACGCGUGGGAACCUGCCCUUAGGUUCGGAAUACCUCCCCGAAAGGGGUGCUAAUACCGGAUAAUGUCUUCGGACCAAAGAUUUAUCGCCUUUGGAUGGGCCCGCGUUGGAUUAGCUAGUUGGUAGGGUAAAAGCCUACCAAGGCGACGAUCCAUAGCUGGUCUGAGAGGAUGAUCAGCCACACUGGGACUGCGACACGGCCCAGACUCCUACGGGAGGCAGCAGUGGGGAAUAUUGGACAAUGGGCGAAAGCCUGAUCCAGCAAUGCCGCGUGAGUGAUGAAGGCCUUAGGGUUGUAAAGCUCUUUUACCCGGGAUGAUAAUGACAGUACCGGGAGAAUAAGCUCCGGCUAACUCCGUG
Molecule: ribosomal RNA, 433 nt
Filed under: uncultured bacterium
Lineage: Bacteria
Description: partial 16S ribosomal RNA
Rfam family: Bacterial small subunit ribosomal RNA
Source: RNAcentral